This 253-nucleotide ribosomal RNA is filed under the name uncultured bacterium. Its description in RNAcentral is "partial 16S ribosomal RNA". It matches the Rfam family "Bacterial small subunit ribosomal RNA", at positions 524 to 776 of the family's 1533-position model. The record is from RNAcentral.
UACGUAGGGUGCAAGCGUUGUCCGGAAUUAUUGGGCGUAAAGAGCUCGUAGGCGGUCUGUCGCGUCGGAUGUGAAAAUCCAGGGCUUAACCCUGGGCCUGCAUUCGAUACGGGCAGACUAGAGUUCGGUAGGGGAGACUGGAAUUCCUGGUGUAGCGGUGAAAUGCGCAGAUAUCAGGAGGAACACCGGUGGCGAAGGCGGGUCUCUGGGCAGUAACUGACGCUGAGGAGCGAAAGCGUGGGGAGCGAACAGG